GCUGGACAUGGUGGUGUAUGUCUGUAAUCCUAGAUACUAGGGAGGCUGAGGCUGGAGGAUUGGAAAUUUGAAGUCAGGCUGGGCAAUUUAGUGAAGACCCUGUCUCAA
Molecule: small RNA, 108 nt
Filed under: Marmota monax (woodchuck)
Lineage: Eukaryota; Metazoa; Chordata; Mammalia; Rodentia; Sciuridae
Source: RNAcentral